Molecule: long non-coding RNA, 1402 nt
Filed under: Bos indicus x Bos taurus (hybrid cattle)
Lineage: Eukaryota; Metazoa; Chordata; Mammalia; Artiodactyla; Bovidae
Description: lncRNA (ENSBIXG00000017815.1)
Source: RNAcentral
GAGGGAUGUCUAAGGGGCAGUGGUGGCAAGCAGGGGGUCAGGCCACUCUCUCUCCCGGCCCCUAAAAGAGCACAAAUCAGGGUUCCCGAGACCACAGAGAUGAACAGUCAGAGAAAGGCAUCGCUGGCCUCAAGGAGCAUGGGACAGUUCCAUGGGGGAAAGGACAGCUCAGAACCUGAGAACCAGGAAGAACUUUCUCCUUUCUCAGGAAUACCCAUCACUGGAGCUUGUCGCCCCACUAAAGUGCUCUGGGGGUCCUGGGGUGCUUGCCCCUCUCUCCUCCAGCACUUGCCCACUCUGCUCUUCUGGCAGCUGAUGGUGGUUUCAGAAACAGUGAGGCCAGAAUCCCUAAAGCGCGCUCUGCUCACCAACCCCCACCCGCACCCCCUACCUCCAACCUAGAGCACUUGAGAUGACUAACUGCAGCGUGGAUGUCAAGGCAGGCCUGGAGCUCAGGAGGAGGGUACAGAGAGAAACCUGCUUUACCACUGGUGAACUUGACAUCAUGGUCUUGGACACGCACUGUGGAAAGAUGGGCUUGUACAUUCAAAAUGCAGGAAGCAGUGAGCUCCAGGAGAUGGUGAAGCUCCGGGAGUAGUGAAGAACAGGGAAGCCUGGCAUGCUGCAGUCCAUGGGGUCACACAGAGGUGGAAGGACUGAGUGACUGAACAAUAGCAACAAAGCAGUGAGCUCAAGGUCUGACCCAUAGCCCUUGCAUUCUGCUGAUGGGAAUGAGGGAAGACACCCAGAUGCACAGCCUCUGUAGCUGGAGACCAGACAGUGUUUCAUAGCAUCCUUCAUGACGGAGACCUUGAGGGUGGUUAUGUCCAAGGGCUGGUGAGUUGUCCGAGGAUGAGCCUCAAGGCCCAUGGCAGCAAGGAAAGCACUUCCUAUACAGCCUCCAAGUCUUCAGCAUGUUUGCAGGCACUUGGAUGGAGCUGUAGGUGGAAGACUCCUCAAGUUUGCAGACCAUCAAAUCUGAGAAGAGUAGGAAAUGCACUGUGUGAUAAAAGCUAACAGGUUUGCUCAGGCUGGGUGAAUAGGGCCCAUUUCUGAGAUGAGUCUGAAGACGGUUCAGUGUCACACUCUGCUUAUGGGGUCCAAGACAUCACCUGCCUCAGCAUGUGUGGGGAAAAAAAAAAACACGGAAGGAUCUGGGGUAUUCAGCAUAUUGCCAAUCAACUGUGUGGUUAAUCUGAACAAAACAGAGAUGUGAUCUUCAGCUACAUUGAAGAAGUUCUUGUUUUCCAAGAUUUCUUUGUCCUGUGAAUCCCAUUAAGGGAUUUCUUUUGGGUCCACUGACCACUCAAAUCAAAAACUUCUGGGGCUUGUUAAAAAUUCAGAUUUGGGGGCCCACCUAGGUUAUUCAUUCAGGCUGUAUAGGGAGGAAGCCCCAGAAGAU